RNAcentral lists this transfer RNA (77 nucleotides) under Desulfitobacterium hafniense. RNAcentral describes it as "tRNA-Pro". It matches the Rfam family "tRNA". From Rfam's summary of the family: Transfer RNA (tRNA) molecules are approximately 80 nucleotides in length. Their secondary structure includes four short double-helical elements and three loops (D, anti-codon, and T loops). Further hydrogen bonds mediate the characteristic L-shaped molecular structure. tRNAs have two regions of fundamental functional importance: the anti-codon, which is responsible for specific mRNA codon recognition, and the 3' end, to which the tRNAs corresponding amino acid is attached (by aminoacyl-tRNA synthetases). tRNAs cope with the degeneracy of the genetic code in two manners: having more than one tRNA (with a specific anti-codon) for a particular amino acid; and 'wobble' base-pairing, i.e. permitting non-standard base-pairing at the 3rd anti-codon position. The record is from RNAcentral. Lineage: Bacteria; Bacillati; Bacillota; Clostridia; Eubacteriales; Desulfitobacteriaceae.
CGGGAUGUAGCGCAGCUUGGUAGCGCAUCUGGUUUGGGACCAGAGGGUCGUGGGUUCAAAUCCUACCAUCCCGACCA